RNAcentral lists this ribosomal RNA (522 nucleotides) under uncultured bacterium. Its description in RNAcentral is "bacterial SSU rRNA". It matches the Rfam family "Bacterial small subunit ribosomal RNA", at positions 9 to 524 of the family's 1533-position model. The record is from RNAcentral.
GAGUUUGAUCCUGGCUCAGGAUGAACGCUAGCGGCAGGCUUAAUACAUGCAAGUCGUGGGGCAGCACAGUGUAGCAAUACAUGGGUGGCGACCGGCAAACGGGUGCGGAACACGUACGCAGCCUUCCUUUAACUGGAGAAUAGCCCCUCGAAAGAGGGAUUAAUACUCCGUAACAUGUUGAUAAGGCAUCUUAUUAAUAUUAUAGCUCCGGCGGUUAAAGAUGGGCGUGCGCCUGAUUAGGUAGUUGGCGGGGUAACGGCCCACCAAGCCUUCGAUCAGUAACUGGUGUGAGAGCACGACCAGUCACACGGGCACUGAGACACGGGCCCGACUCCUACGGGAGGCAGCAGUAAGGAAUAUUGGUCAAUGGACGCAAGUCUGAACCAGCCAUGCCGCGUGGAGGAUUAAGGCCCUCUGGGUUGUAAACUCCUUUUAUCUGGGAAGAAAUCCAUAUAUUCUUAUGUGGUUGACGGUACCAGAGGAAUAAGCACCGGCUAACUCCGUGCCAGCAGCCGCGGUAAC